This 528-nucleotide ribosomal RNA is filed under the name uncultured Pseudomonadota bacterium. RNAcentral describes it as "bacterial SSU rRNA". It matches the Rfam family "Bacterial small subunit ribosomal RNA", at positions 8 to 522 of the family's 1533-position model. The record is from RNAcentral. Lineage: Bacteria; Pseudomonadati; Pseudomonadota.
AGAGUUUGAUCAUGGCUCAGAUUGAACGCUGGCGGCAUGCCUAACACAUGCAAGUCGAACGGCAGCAUGAUCUACAUUUCGGUGUAAAUUGAUGGCGAGUGGCGGACGGGUGAGUAAUACGUAGGAAUCUACCUUUCAGAGGGGGACAACUCGGGGAAACUCGAGCUAAUACCCCAUAAUACUUGAGGGUCAAAGUGGGGGCUCGUAAGACCUCACGCUGAGAGAAGAGCCUACGUCGGAUUAGCUAGUUGGUAGGGUAAAGGCCUACCAAGGCGAUGAUCCGUAGCUGGUCUGAGAGGAUGACCAGCCACACUGGGACUGAGACACGGCCCAGACUCCUACGGGAGGCAGCAGUGGGGAAUAUUGGACAAUGGGGGCAACCCUGAUCCAGCAAUGCCGCGUGUGUGAAGAAGGCCUGCGGGUUGUAAAGCACUUUAGUUGGGGAGGAAAGGCGCUGAAUUAAUAAAUCAGAGCUGUGACGUUACCCAAAGAAUAAGCACCGGCUACUCUGUGCCAGCAGCCGCGGUA